UGAACAGGUAGGGACUGCACUACCCAAAAU
This 30-nucleotide non-coding RNA is filed under the name Mus musculus (house mouse). The record is from RNAcentral. Lineage: Eukaryota; Metazoa; Chordata; Mammalia; Rodentia; Muridae.